CCCUUAGAUGUCCGGGGCUGCACGCGCGCUACACUGAAGGAAUCAGCGUGCUAAAACCAUUGUCGAAAGGCAUUGGUAAACCCAUUAAAAUCCUACGUGAUUGGGAUCGGGAAUUGCAAUUAUUUCCCUUGAACGAGGAAUUCCCAGUAAGUGUGGGUCAUAAGCUCGCGUUGAUUACGUCCCUGCCCUUUGUACACACCGCCCGUCGCUGCCCGGGACUGAGCCGUUUCGAGAAAAGCGGGGACUGCUGCUGUCGGGGCUUUCGGGCCUUGGCUUCGGUGGAAACCGCUUUAAUCGCAGUGGCUUGAACCGGGCAAAGGUCGUAACA
This 328-nucleotide ribosomal RNA is filed under the name uncultured eukaryote. RNAcentral's name for it is "partial 18S ribosomal RNA". It matches the Rfam family "Eukaryotic small subunit ribosomal RNA", at positions 1470 to 1796 of the family's 1831-position model. The record is from RNAcentral.